RNAcentral lists this long non-coding RNA (1100 nucleotides) under Chrysolophus pictus (golden pheasant). RNAcentral describes it as "lncRNA (ENSCPIG00010004537.1)". Lineage: Eukaryota; Metazoa; Chordata; Aves; Galliformes; Phasianidae. The record is from RNAcentral.
UGCUUAUUAAUUAGAAAAUCAGAAAUCAUUUUGAAGACUUUCUUUAGACGAAAGCAAAUUCUUUUCUUCUUUAGUUUACUUGAAGUCAAAGAAAAGGUCUUUUCCUGUAAUCUCAGCUCUGUCAUUACUGUGACAGUGGAUUUCUUUCCAGGACCAUGGAGAGUGCUUCCAUUAGCCUCGAGGAGCAUCCCUCCAGUUGCUGUGCACGGAGAAAUGUAUUUUAAGUAAAUAAGUAUUUACAAGGAAUAAAACCGGAUGUGUGGAUGUACCUGUGUGUUUAUUCACCUUGUUAAGCUGAAGACAAGACAGAAUUCAUCUCAUAGUUUGUUUAAAAAAAAGUUCCAGUGCUCAAACAUGUCCUAUUUCUUAUCCACCCCACGAGUUUUCUGACCAGAAUAAAAUGACAGUUUCUUUUCCUCAUCUGCCUUGGGAGUUCCAGAACUGCAAGAGAUAAACACUCUCCCUUGGAAAUAGGCAUAAAUGUUAGAGCAUGUCCUAUCAAGACGUCUGUCCUGCAUCUGGUACUUCAAGUGGCAGGUGAGUUACUUGAGGUUUUCUGAGUCACUGAGCAGCCAUACAAGUGCCAGCAUUGCCAUGAAGGAGUCAGUGGCCACAAGCACUGGAGAGGGAGACCUACCCAUCCUGAAGUACCUGGAGAUGGCUGUGAAACUACACAGCUACAUGCCAGCCCAUCACAGGUAGUUAUGUGGCUGUAGAUGAAUCAACACAAAGUGAAGUGACUAACCCUCAAGAUGUUAAUUAGAGUGUCAUUAAGUAGCACUGCAGCUGCUAACGACCUGCAGUGCAAUGACCGAUGAGACCAGCAUGCAACACUGUGAUGAGCAAGAUGAGGGUUUUUCUCAGUGCUCUCAAGUACAAACAACCUGAGAGAAAGCAUAAUGUUACGAGUUUAUGGAAUCUUUGUUACUCUAUAUAACAAUUAUAAACUUUGGCAGAACAUUUUUAAGAAUAAUUUUUAAAUAAGAAUUGAAACUAAGAAAUACUAAGAAUUCCUUCUGGCUUUCUGUAACAUUUCCCUUCCCAACCUGUUUGAAGCAGGAACAAUAGGGAUGGGAAUUCUAACUGUGGUAUUAUUCACU